This is a non-coding RNA of Nitzschia inconspicua, 83 nucleotides long. NCBI's taxonomy places the organism in Eukaryota, Bacillariophyta, Bacillariophyceae, Bacillariales, Bacillariaceae. The record is from the annotation of a GenBank genome assembly.
GUCACUUUGCCCGAGUUGGUCUAAGGGGUUCGACUCAAGUUCGAAUGUAUUCGUACGCAGGGGUUCGAAUCCCCUAGGUGACA